AGCUUGUUUAAUACUGUUAACUUUCCUACCUUCAGAGUUUCGUGAUUAGAUUGUGUUUCUAUGGAUGAAUGCUAAACUUAGCUAGUUUCUAACUUUUGCCUUUACACUUUAGCUAAUGUUGACUAAUAUUAGCUAGCUAAAGCUAACAUUUCUUUUACUUAAAUGAGCUAUCUGAUGUUAGCUAGCUGAUAGCUCACUCAAUCAUUUCUAAUAUUGGCUUGGCAUUUCAUUACCGCUGUAAAAUGUCAUAUUUGAUCUUUUUACAAUAAGCACACCAUUUGUUUUCACACUGGAAUUUGGGAAUUUUAACUGGCUAGUCAACAUGAGCAAGAGGAGAGGAGAUAUUCCACACUUUUUUGGUGCCAAAAAAAGAAGACAUGGACACGAGAAGAAGGUGUGGUGCAACCCCCGUUAAGCGAUUAUCCAGCUCUACCUUUGAUUUUCUUCACUAUACAAGCUGUAAAGAACGGAAGAUUGAAUCGUUUUGGAUAGACUGCGAAGAUCACAAAUGCCUUCAAUGAUGCACCUCUGGGAAAUAGUCACAGAUGGGGCUAGCAGUUAUUCAGAUGAAUCAGCAGCACUGCAAACAAGCUAAGCAGCUAGUGAAAGGUUGGAGGUACAAUAUUUGGCCGGGGAGGGGCAGAGAGCUCUUGCUGCCCAGGCAGGCCUGACGCCUCAACCAGGCUUUUACAGUAGGAAGGAGUGAAGCACACAGAGGUUUACCGCCAUGCUGGGAUCACCAGUUUAAUGGAGGCUCGCCCUAUCCCACAUUCAAACCCUGCAUCUCUUGGCUCCCUUCCGGCAGCUGGAGUAUACUGGGGAGCGUUCCCAUGGAAAAGCUGUUAAACUGGCCACAGUAGUGAGGAUGAGGAACAAGUUUCCAUCAUGUUCUAACUAGCUACAAAGAGAUUCACAUAUUGCACUGCCAUAUAGACUUCUCUUCUGUAAGAUAGUUCUAGUAGGCUAAUUGUGAUGUAGUAAGUUUUAGUUGGCAGUUGGAGAUUUUGUCUGCUUUUUUUCUGUCCUUUUCCAGUCUAGUGGCUACAGGUGUGUACAUGACCAGGUCUAUUUCCUCCUGAACUGACCUAUGAGGGGUCUGAGUGAGCUUGUUUUUGCAUCGUCUCCAUGUUGCUAUGCAGACUGACUUUUCCAUUGGCUGGGUUUUACCAGUCAUCCUUAAAGACAAGCCUGGUCCUGAUUGUUCCGGAUCGUACGGCGGAAUCAAAUUAGGGACUGGUAAUGGCCAUAAAGUCCAUGUCUGAGGCAUUAUACUCAAGGGCGUGGGCCCACCUCACAUUUCCCAUCCGCAUUUCCUUUCGUCCUCGUUUCUGAGUGGGACUGUCAGCUUUUUUUCAUUACCAGCUAAUCUGGAGGAUUUGUAACUAAAACAACAAACAGAUAAAAACGCACAAAUCAAUGGGAGAGAGUGAUGUUCCACCAAUCAACUGUAUGUUCAUAAUUGGCCAACUCAUACAUCAUGCUUGUUCUUCUAUGAAUGGGCCCCAUGCUUUGCAGUUGUUUAUAAAAUUCGAGGUGGAUA
Micropterus dolomieu (smallmouth bass) is the source of this 1540-nucleotide long non-coding RNA. RefSeq lists it as uncharacterized. The record is from RefSeq and is a predicted model, not a curated record. The transcript has 5 exons. NCBI's taxonomy places the organism in Eukaryota, Metazoa, Chordata, Actinopteri, Centrarchiformes, Centrarchidae.